Molecule: ribosomal RNA, 242 nt
Filed under: uncultured bacterium
Lineage: Bacteria
Description: partial 16S ribosomal RNA
Rfam family: Bacterial small subunit ribosomal RNA
Source: RNAcentral
UGAGGAACAUGACCUUCGGCGGGGGAUAGCCGGCCCAACGGCCGGGUAAUACCGCGUACGACCACAUGGGGACAUCCCUGAGUGGUGAAAGCAGCAAUGCGCCGAUGGAGUGCCUCGCGGCCUAUCAGCUAGUUGGUGAGGUAACGGCUCACCAAGGCGUCGACGGGUAGCCGGCCUGAGAGGGUGACCCGGCCACACUGGGACUGAGAUACCGGCCCAGACCUCCGUACGGGGAGGNAGCG